This 460-nucleotide ribosomal RNA is filed under the name uncultured bacterium. Its description in RNAcentral is "partial 16S ribosomal RNA". It matches the Rfam family "Bacterial small subunit ribosomal RNA", at positions 338 to 795 of the family's 1533-position model. The record is from RNAcentral.
CCUACGGGAGGCAGCAGUGAGGAAUAUUGGUCAAUGGACGAGAGUCUGAACCAGCCAAGUCGCGUGAGGGAUGACUGCCCUAUGGGUUGUAAACUUCUUUUAUAAAGGAAUAAAACGAGGCACGUGUCCCUUUUUGCAGGUACUUUAUGAAUAAGGAUCGGCUAACUCCGUGCCAGCAGCCGCGGUAAUACGGAGGAUCCGAGCGUUAUCCGGAUUUAUUGGGUUUAAAGGGAGCGUAGAUGGGUUGUUAAGUCAGUUGUGAAAGUUUGCGGCUCAAACGUAAAAUUGCAAUUGAUACUGGCAGUCUUGAGUACAGUGGAGGUAGGCGGAAUGCGUGGUGUAGCGGUGAAAUGCUUAGAUAUCACGAAGAACCCCGAUUGCGAAGGCAGCUUACUAAACUGUGACUGACAUUGAGGCUCGAAAGUGUGGGGAUCAAACAGGAUUAGAUACCCUUGUAGUC